GGACAAGACUUAUGAUUUGAAAUUGUCAAGGCAAUGGAUGCAAGCAAUCCUGGUAAUUAAUGCUAAUUGUUAGUUUUAAUACAAUUUUUUUUCAUUAUUGGUUCUAAAUUGUUUAAAUUAAACAUAUUUACUUUAGUUGACAAUUUGAUUCUAAUCAAUAAAAUCUAACAUAACUAUCCUCUUCAAUAGUCAUUUAAGCUCAAUUCGUAUUAUCGAAGGUUCUGACUACAUUAGGAUAUCAAAGCAGCUUUGAAAAUCAGGUCUACUCCAAAUUCAUUCUGAUUUCAAAUGCUUAACUAAUUUAUUUUUUGAAUCUGGCAGCUGAUCUUGCCUUUUUUGCAGUUGGAUAUAAACUACUAUGACCUUGGCCUUCCCCAGUGGGAUGUUACUAAUGACUAGAAAACCAUUCAAGUUGCAUAAGCUACUUUUAAGUUUGACAUCCUAUGUUCUCGAUUUUGAAUAAAUAUUGAACUUCUAAUAAUAGGGCUUCAAUAUCUUCAUUUUCUCAUUUGCUUCACAAUAUUUGCAGUAGAGAUAAAAUUUUCAACAUCUGUAUUUUUAAGUUUUCUAUUACAAUUUUCGUAAAUAUUUAUUCGUUCUUCUUCUUAGUUGAUAGUUGUUUUGUACAUUGAAAAUGUUGGCUCAAUUUAGUAAUUAAAUGUGCCACCAUUUCUCCUGGUAGGCACAACUCAUCUUAAAUUGUUCGAUGCUAUGCGUCAUUUUAUCUUUAAAUUAUGAAUCAGAUCAUUAUCCUUUCUACACAUUAAGGCUUUGUUUGCCUAUCAUUAUACAAUAUUGUUUUUUGUACAAUACUCAUUUUUAACCACAUAUUCUUCAAUAAAAAAAUAUUACACGUAAAUAAAAAAAUUUCCUUCUUUUUGAACCACACAUUUCAAUAUCAAUUACUGUUCUAUGAUAUAUUCUUCACAAAUAAUGGGGCACAAACAUCCCCUAAUAAAAGAGGAAAUGUGGUGUGCACUGUUCAUUUUUGUCCCCUCCUGUUCAUCAAAAUAUAUUUGGUAUAUAUUAUAUAUAUGUCUUUUGUACCUCUUGUAAGACCAUUUAUACCUUCCUAAUCUCUCCAAAGAAUCGUAGGCAGCCAUUAACUCCGAUAGACUUCAACGACGAGGACGACAAAGACGAAGACAUGACGAAUAAGGUUUCGGCGCGAUACCUGGUGUUGGAUAAGUUUUUGUUUUGGGUUCUCUAUUUUCCUUCUUUCUAAUCUUACUUUCUAAGUUUAGUCGACAUAUUUCUUUGCUUAAAUUUGCAGGUUUUGAGUAUAUAUGAUAUCUGGGCAUCUCAUAAAUAGCUUAAAUAGUUCUUUAGUUUUGGGAAUUCCAUAUUCUGAUUUUUUGAGGUAACUCUUUUACCUUUGUUUAGAUGUUUAUUCUUUGUAAUCUGUGUAUGUUAGUUUGUUUCUGAACUGAAAUUAACUUGUUCUUAAAUUCAUUCUUUUGAUUUGAUUUUUUGAAUUCAAGUUUAUUCCUAUUUUUAACUUCUGUUGUUUAAAUAGUGUAUGCCAAUAAUGUUGUGAGAAUUCAAUUUAUUAGUUCCAUGGUUCAUGUAGUGGACCUCCAUGAUUUUUCCAUUAGUAUCCUUGCUUGACGUCUGGCAAACAUCGAAUUAGUUGGAGUAGACCUCGGUUUGGCUCCAGAUCCCAAUCUCAAUAACUCGAGUGGUCAUUAGGUAAACAGAAUAGGACAAAUACAAACUCUUCAUCAAAAAACCAAAAACGAAAAAAAAAAUAAAUAAAUAAAAACAAAAAACAAUGAAUCAAUAUUUUCAUAUGCAGUGAGUAUUAUUUAUGAGUUGCUUCUCAUGUUCUAUGAAGAGUCGUGACAUGAGGAACAAAAGCAUUUAAUAACUUGGACUAAUUCUAUAUUUGUUUCUUCCAAAUAAGGAAAAAAAGGAUGUAAAAGAAUAUAUUUUUAUUUUUAAGUUGUUGAAUCUCCUAUAUUGAUCAAUAUGUGAUAUUCCAACUCCUCAUCACUACUGAAAUCCAUAUGAUAUUGCGAUUAAUUCGUUUUUGCCUAAAGUCAAUUACUCAAACAAAACUAGAUCUUCAUUCUUUAUUUAUUUUUUUUUCCUUUUUACUAUUUUAACUGAGUGAAUAUCAUUUCUUAGUGCAAUUAGUUAAUUUUGGGGUUUCACUUGCACGCAAUAGCCUAUAUUGAAGGAGACAAGUACUACGGGGCAAAAAGCAACUAUUAAUGUUUGGGAACCUAAAAUACAGCAGCAUCAUAACAAGUUCAAUUUAUCCCAAAUUUGGUUACUGGGUGGUUCAUUUGGUAAAGAUCUCAAUAGCAUUAAAGCUGGUUGGUAGGUAAAUUUUUCUCCAAAUUACUUGGUCGAUCAUAAUUUGUUGCAUUAAUCUAACGGAUUAGAAUGCAUGUUAUUUCAAGUUAGCCCCGAUGUCUACGAGGAUAACAACACAACCAUUUUUGAGUACAUACCUAUAGACAAUUUAAAAAAGAAUGCCAGCUCUUAUUAAAUAGAAGUUAAUUAUAAGUACAAAAACUCGAAGAAAGCAUUUAAUGAAGGUUCUUAACAGUUAGUCUUGUGUUUUUGGAGUACGCUUAUAUUAUGUGACAAUUAUGUUUCUCUUCCAAUCCAAUUUAGCACAUAGAAUAAAAUCUCAAGCAUAAAUAAAAUAGUUAAUCCCUAAGCAAGCUGGAGUAUAGUACGAAUCAUGCUAUAAAUUUCUAUGUCAAAAUUAUUUUUCUCAUAGUUGGAGUUUUUUUCAUGGGACAAGCUUUGAGAAAUCGUGUGGCAAUGAUGAGAGAAGAGAAAGAAAAUCUGAUUUUGGGAAUUCUUAAAAUGAAAGAAGGAUGAGAAUUGAUUAUUUAAAAAUGAAAGCGAUGAACGUGCCUUCAAAGUCAAGCAUUCACUCAAGAAGAGCGGCAAAAGUAAGAGUGGUGUUAGUGGCAACUUUGUUUCAUUUGAGGAUAUUUGGGAUGUUGAUGAGCUGCAAGCUAUUAAGGCAUUUCGACGAGCCUUGAUGCUAAUUGUCAAACAAGUUUGAUGAUUAUCAUAUGAUGUUGAGGUUAUUUUACAACACUUUUGCCACUUUUAGUCAAAUGUUCGCAUGUACGGAUGGAAAUAUAAACUGUAUCCUGGUUUAACAUGUAGACGUCCUGAUUUUGUCCUCAUUACUAUGGAGGUAACUAGUCACCCCUUCCUCCUUUAGUAGGACAAUUUAUGAUUUUGCUGCAUUACUUUAUAAUUUUUCCUAUAUUGUAGUCGGUAGUUAAGGUUUGAGGGAUUGCAUUUAAUAGUCUUUCCAGAUAAGUUAUUUUUAUAUUUCUUGUAAACAUUUUAGUAUAUAGUUGGAAAAGUACGCAACUAUUUGAACUUUUGUCGAUAAUUAUCCUGAAGUAACAUUUUGAUCAUUUAUUUGAUCAAAGAUAUUAGGUUUUGUGUAGUCUUGGUAGUGUAAUAUAUUGUAUCCUCCAAAUGUUGCAGACAUUUCAUAAAAUAUUUAUCAUCAAGAUGGUCGAAGUAUUAUGCUACCGUAGAAUAUUGUAAAGAGUUUUUUUGAUCUCAGGGCCACCACUAAGAUACAUGUAUGUUGCUAUUUCUUCCUUUUUCCAUAUGUAAGCAUUAUUUUUUCUCACUUAAAUGGCCGACUUUAAUUACUCGGUCUAUCUUCUUUUUGGAAUAUCUCACAUGUACUUGGAAACAAAUAUAGGAAUAAGUUGCUUAAAAUAAAAGAUAUCAAGUGCAAAACAAUGGAAACCGUUGUUGUAACUUGCGAACAUUGAAAUUUAUUUCGAGAUUUUGACGUAAAUUUUUGGGGUUGUGUAGUGAUCAGAAUUCUUUGGUGGAAAGGCCAAGGGGUUUGCCUUCGGUCAGAUAGAGGACCAUGCAAAAAUUCCGAGAUACAAAAGGUCAUUCCUAACAUGGGAGCUAUUAAAUUGACCUACAAAGAUCAUAUAUAAAUACUUGUGUUAUAAUUUUGAUCAUGUUAAAAAAUAAUAAAUGGCUCGAAAUCAUGUUACAGAUGGUGCUUGAUGGUGAAGCACGACUGGCAGGAAGGUGGUUGAAAUUCUUAACGACGACAAAGAGAUAGUUUAUGCUGAGCAACACUACUUGAUUGUAUAGACUAUGUCUGUUGUGCAUAUGAUUAGGCACAACUGCACAAUAUUUCUGUUUUAUGUGAGAUUUUUUUUUUAUUUAGUUGUUGAAGCAGGUAAAGGCAGUGACACCUCAACUGUUGAAUCUGGUUCUGAAGCUGAAAAAUAUUUCUUCACCAAAAGCUAUUCAGAGUUACUCGCACCUUUGAUUGACUCAUGUUCGUGAGGAGGUAUGGUCAAGCCUUACAAUUUCAAGAUUAGAUAUUUAAUUAUCUGCUAUUGAAAAUAAUGUUUUUUAUAAUUUUAAUUGAAUUCUCCCUUAUUUAAUGUUGAGUCUAGUGGUAGCUUGUGCAAAUAUUUAAUUUGGUGCUUGUAGGUCAGUUAGUGUUUGCUUAAUUGCAACACAAGUGCAAAAUUAUCAAUUGCUUAAUAUCGUCUCUUUGAUUGGUUUAAAAGCAUCUGUGUAUAUCCUAAAAAGGUGUCCAGUUACAUGGAAUUCAAAUUUUUAUAGGUCGGGUUGUGCAAUCUUUUGCUACUAAAAAAAUCAAGUAAAGUGACAUUAUUCAAUAGUUCAUUAGUUGUUUGAUAAUUAUUAUUUAUAAUGUCUAUCAUUUUAUUUAUGAUAUAAGGUACAAAUUCUUCAUGAAAUAUAACUAAGCAUACAGUUUCUUGUAAGAAAUAUUGCUUUCCUAUAAAACUAAUUUUCCUUACUUAAGAAAGGAUAACUUUACCAUGUACAGUGUCUUCUUUAUUCCAAAAGUCUCGUUGGUCAACAUUUUAUGAACUCAAUGUAAAGAGAGACCCACUAUAUAUAGAACCAUAGAACACAGCAGAAAUGUGUUGACACUUUCUCAAUUCCUCACAAAAAUUAACGUGGAGGAUCAACCUUUCUCUUCUAAUUAUCUCAAGUCCUUGUUUCUCAGGUUAAAGCUAAUGGAAACUCUAGCUCGGCAACUUAUCACGAUAUGAUGAGUACGUUCCUAUGGUUGACAAAGUUGUUGAUUCUGGAUGGAAAAAGCAUAAAUCACUUUCAAAACCUUAUAUUUUUUAAGGUUAGUUGCUUUAGAAGUUCCAUUUUUGUAUCUGUCUCCAUACAUAAUAUUUGAAUCAGUCUAUGAUCUUCUCAUGCUUAUUUAUUCAUCUAAUACUUGCUUCGAAGACCUAGGGGGUCUUUUUUUCUUCGGUUGAACCGAUCUUUCUAUCAUUGCAAACGUCGCCUUAGGUGCUCAUUUUUAUUCUUAUAACUCUUAUCAUAUGUUGAUCAUGUUUAGAGGUUAUCUAUGAUUAACUUAUGAUUGUUCUUUUGUUAAUAGCUAUGCCUUAAUAACAUUUUGUUAUAUCCUGAUAUUAAAUGACCGCUAUAUUGGAGAUAUAAGAUUAGCUAUGUCUAAAUAAGAUUACAAUGACAAUAGAUUAGUAACUAUUUUUUGAUUGCAUAGUAUAUGAUUUUUCCCCUCUUUGAUUUUUAUAUCUCCAGGUAUAAGAUAAGAGAGAAGGAAAAAAUUGUUCAAGCAUAUUCUUCUUAGGAUCUUGAAGAAAUUUUUGUAAGUUUAUUUGUAUUAAAUUGAUCCUAUAUCAAUUAUUUAUAGAAAUUAUUCUCAAAAUAAACGCUCCAUUAUUUUACCGGAUCCAUUUUAUGUGACUAUAAUAUUUUCCAUAUUCUAAAUGUGUUGGCUACCAAAUAUCCUGAUUAGGAUUGAGGUAAGAUUGGUGUUAUCUAUAAUCUAUGUACCAUAAUUAAUUUUAUUAAUAUUCUAGUUAAGCCACUUUCUAAUUUCAAAUUCUACACUAUGUUUUUCAGAGCUUUGGUAAAAGAAGAGGAUGCUUGAUAAACCCAUCUAAGAAACUGGAAGGAAAAUGACUUUUUACAGGCACAAGAAAAGAAACUUAUUGUGGAGAUUAAAAAAAAUGUAAAGCAAGGACAGAUGGUAAGUUGUUCUCUAUAGUUAAUUCCAUUUCAGUUUCUUAGACUUUAUGGCUCUCUUUUCUCCCAUAGGCCCCAUCCGCUUUAUUGCCCAGGUUGCUCCCAUAAAGACAUUUUGAAAAUCGUUUUUGAUUAGAUUGAUUUUAAAGAUAGAUUCAUUAAUGAUAAUUUAGUGAAUUUUCAUCUUCAUUAUAUGAACCAUCUAGAAGAAAUCAGAUAGAAAUAAUUUUAUUUUAUAACUUCAAUGAAAAUUCAAUGGAAUAUUAUUGUGUUUACUCUCUCUCUCUCUCUCUCUCAAAAAUGUGGUAUCCACAAGUUAUGCCCCUAUUUGAUUCUCAUUAAAAUGAGAAUACUUGACCAAAAAACAUUUUCCCACAAUGCCGAUGAAUUAAAAUUUUUAGAUUUGUCAAUAUACUUGUGAGAUGAACAGGAAAAGUAAAAUGCUCAUUGAAAAGUCAAUACCAGAAAUACCCUGCUUUGGCCAAUUAAAAUUACACAAGUACCCUAAACCCAUUACCAAAAGGGCAUGCUGCUUUGAAAAUGACAUAAAAAUGGGGCCAUAAGUCAUUGAGU
This 6573-nucleotide long non-coding RNA is filed under the name Olea europaea subsp. europaea. The record is from RNAcentral. Lineage: Eukaryota; Viridiplantae; Streptophyta; Magnoliopsida; Lamiales; Oleaceae.